CUUUCACUCCAUUAUUUGUGAUCAUGUUCAGUUUUUAAUUUCCAAACAUUAGAAGCUAGAUUAAAAUAACCAUCUCUCUGUGAAUUCGACCAUACUUACACUACUACAUUCUUAGGAGGUUAUGUUAGGAAUUAUUUUUGACAGGUGUACGACAGUCAAUCACAUACUCAGGGGGCUCGACCAUUGCCCAAGCCGCCUCGGUGCUUUGUCGGUGGCUGUUGAGCUCCCCACCCAGUCUUAGUUCUCGUUUUCUUCUUUUCUCUUUAGUUUUUCUUUCCCCUUCACCAUCUUCUUCAAUCCAUAUUGAGAAUUGGGAGCAAAAUCUUGAAAUUCUCACCGUCGCACCACACCAGUGGGUUGGUGCACUGGAAGUCUGACGGCAACAGAGUAGUGGGUCGCGUGCCAAGCUGGAAGUUUUAAAGCGGCGGCUCCAACGACAAUUAUGAGACAGGUAAUGCUCUAGGAAAUCAAAUUUUACGAAAAGUACAUCAUGGGGGUUACCAAACUUAAACAGGUGUAUCUUUAGGUAGUUGUGUAAUGGUGAAGAACAAAGGUCUUUAUCUAUAUCAAGAUCCUUGUUCUUAGGUUCUGAAAGAACAUAAAUCUAUCAUUAAAUCAGUUCGAUCUUCUUCUUUAAGGAUUGCAGAUAUUGAUCAGUGUUGUUGGGUGAUGAGUUAAAGGAAUUUACAUCACCAUAUGUUCUUUCGAUGACUUCGGGAGUCAUCACAGUAAAAAAAAAAAUCUUUGUGGGAGGCCUUCAAAUUUGAUUUGGGUAAAUUUCGACCUCUACAAACAGGGGCGGCUUUUAGCAUGUUCAACAUGUUCCAUGGAACAGGGCCCCUCAAUUGUGAGGGCCUCAAAAUAGAGAAAGUUCAAGUAGUAAAACGACAAAGUUUAUCUACUUAUUUGGACUAUUUUUUUUUCAUAAUAUGAUAAUAUGAAGUAUGGAUGAGCUAUUACAUUAUUGAAUUCUUCAAAUAUGAGAUCGUACAGGGCCUCUAUAUAGUUCGAGACGGGUCUGUCUACAAAACCCCUUUUACAGGGUACAAAGUCACGAAAGAAAGUGACUUAAUUGGUAGUUUCAUCUUAAGGAUCCAAGGAAGAUUUCUCAUUUCAAAGGCCUUAGGAUUUAUUGUCUUGUGAACCUUUGGUUCUACAAGAACAAAGUAGGCAAAUCCAGCAUUAUUGAAGAUCGUUUUGGUUUAGUUUCUCAACAGUUUUUAUCACAAGUUAUUAUCUUUAUAUGCAAGAUGUAAAGAUCAUCUCUACCAACAAGAGCCCAAGGGAAGUUCCCUAUGUAAUUUCCGUAAUAUCAUUUGCAUAUAACUUCGGACCUGCAAAUUUAACAAGAUGGUUUGUAAUUUAUUUGUAGUCGAUUUAAUUUAAAUGGGUUGUAAGAGCUAGUCAAGCUCAUGUUAGUAUUCGUUUACUUCGUGUCUAUCUUUUUGGAUGUUCA
Long non-coding RNA from Beta vulgaris subsp. vulgaris (sugar beet), 1456 nucleotides. RefSeq lists it as uncharacterized. Lineage: Eukaryota; Viridiplantae; Streptophyta; Magnoliopsida; Caryophyllales; Amaranthaceae. The record is from RefSeq and is a predicted model, not a curated record. The transcript is spliced from 2 exons.